CUGGCCAGCGGCGAGCAUGCCGCGGACGCGCCGGACGGGGCGGGCGAGGGGGGGAGAAACCUCGACCUCGCUACCUCGGCG
This 81-nucleotide non-coding RNA is filed under the name Gephyrocapsa oceanica. Lineage: Eukaryota; Haptophyta; Isochrysidales; Noelaerhabdaceae. The record is from RNAcentral.